GUAGGUGGCAAGCGUUGUCCGGAAUUAUUGGGCGUAAAGCGCGCGCAGGCGGUUCUUUAAGUCUGAUGUGAAAGCCCACGGCUCAACCGUGGAGGGUCAUUGGAAACUGGAGAACUUGAGUACAGAAGAGGAAAGCGGAAUUCCACGUGUAGCGGUGAAAUGCGUAGAGAUGUGGAGGAACACCAGUGGCGAAGGCGGCUUUCUGGUCUGUAACUGACGCUGAGGCGCGAAAGCGUGGGGAGCAAACAGGAUUAGAUACCCUGGUAGUCCACGCCGUAAACGAUGAGUGCUAAGUGUUAGGGGGUUUCCGCCCCCUUAGUGCUGCAGCUAACGCAUUAAGCACUCCGCCUGGGAUACGGCCGCAAGGCUG
RNAcentral lists this ribosomal RNA (370 nucleotides) under uncultured organism. RNAcentral's name for it is "partial 16S ribosomal RNA". It matches the Rfam family "Bacterial small subunit ribosomal RNA", at positions 527 to 896 of the family's 1533-position model. The record is from RNAcentral.